RNAcentral lists this microRNA (21 nucleotides) under Schistosoma japonicum. RNAcentral's name for it is "sja-miR-3481-5p". The record is from miRBase by way of RNAcentral. Lineage: Eukaryota; Metazoa; Platyhelminthes; Trematoda; Strigeidida; Schistosomatidae.
UUCUUUACAGUGGGUCUCUUU